UGAGGAAUAUUGGACAAUGGGGGAAACCCUGAUCCAGCCAUGCCGCGUGAGUGAAGAAGGCCUUCGGGUUGUAAAGCUCUUUUAGAUGUGAAGAUAAUGACGGUAGCAUCAGAAAAAGCCCCGGCUAAAUUCGUGCCAGCAGCCGCGGUAAUACGAAUGGGGCAAGCGUUGUUCGGAAUAACUGGGCUUAAAGCGUGCGUAGGCGGCUAUGAAAGUCAGAAGUGAAAUCCCCGGGCUUAACCCGGGAAUUGCUUUUGAAACUCCAUAGCUAGAAUCCGGGAGAGGUUAGCAGAAUUCUCAGUGUAGAGGUGAAAUUCGCAGAUAUUGAGAGGAAUACCAGUGGCGAAGGCGGCUAACUGGACCGGUAUUGACGCUGAGGUACGAAAGCGUGGGUAGCAAACAGG
This 404-nucleotide ribosomal RNA is filed under the name uncultured bacterium. RNAcentral's name for it is "bacterial SSU rRNA". It matches the Rfam family "Bacterial small subunit ribosomal RNA", at positions 355 to 776 of the family's 1533-position model. The record is from RNAcentral.